GGAGAUUUAGCUGAGCAGCAUAAGCGCCUGCCUUGCAAGCAGGCAGUCAUGAGUUCAAUCCCUG
This is a non-coding RNA of Cavia porcellus (domestic guinea pig), 64 nucleotides long. The record is from Rfam. NCBI's taxonomy places the organism in Eukaryota, Metazoa, Chordata, Mammalia, Rodentia, Caviidae.